GGAGUUAGCCGGUGCUUCUUCUGCGAGUAACGUCACAGAUGUAAGGUAUUAACUUACACCCUUUCCUCCUCGCUGAAAGUGCUUUACAACCCGAAGGCCUUCUUCACACACGCGGCAUGGCUGCAUCAGGGUUUCCCCCAUUGUGCAAUAUUCCCCACUGCUGCCUCCCGUAGGAGUCUGGGCCGUGUCUCAGUCCCAGUGUGGCUGAUCAUCCUCUCAGACCAGCUAGGGAUCGUCGCCUAGGUGAGCCUUUACCUCACCUACUAGCUAAUCCCACCUGGGCUUAUCCAUCAGCGCAAGGCCCGAAGGUCCCCUGCUUUCCCCCGUAGGGCGUAUGCGGUAUUAGCAGUCGUUUCCAACUGUUAUCCCCCACAAAUGGGCAAAUUCCCAGGCAUUACUCACCCGUCCGCCGCUCGUCAUCUCAACACANACUUAGUAAUAGUACGUCUCGACUGUCAUGUGUUAGGUCGUCGCCGCCACGCGUCUAUACUGAGACCGACGAAUACGAACCCGUACGACGUACGAGGCGGGCGGUCGGCGAACGGACGGCGACUAG
RNAcentral lists this ribosomal RNA (556 nucleotides) under uncultured bacterium. Its description in RNAcentral is "partial 16S ribosomal RNA". The record is from RNAcentral.